AGUGAACGCUGGCGGCGUGCUUAACACAUGCAAGUCGAACGGUAACAGGCCGCAAGGUGCUGACGAGUGGCGAACGGGUGAGUAAUGCAUCGGAACGUGCCCAGUCGUGGGGGAUAACGCAGCGAAAGCUGUGCUAAUACCGCAUACGAUCUGUGGAUGAAAGCGGGGGACCGUAAGGCCUCGCGCGAUUGGAGCGGCCGAUGUCAGAUUAGGUAGUUGGUGGGGUAAAGGCUCACCAAGCCGACGAUCUGUAGCUGGUCUGAGAGGACGACCAGCCACACUGGGACUGAGACACGGCCCAGACUCCUACGGGAGGCAGCAGUGGGGAAUUUUGGACAAUGGGCGCAAGCCUGAUCCAGCAAUGCCGCGUGCAGGAAGAAGGCCUUCGGGUUGUAAACUGCUUUUGUACGGAGCGAAAAGGCUCCCUCUAAUACAGGGGGCUCAUGACGGUACCGUAAGAAUAAGCACCGGCUAACUACGUGCCAGCCGCCGCAGUAA
RNAcentral lists this ribosomal RNA (498 nucleotides) under uncultured bacterium. RNAcentral describes it as "partial 16S ribosomal RNA". It matches the Rfam family "Bacterial small subunit ribosomal RNA", at positions 29 to 523 of the family's 1533-position model. The record is from RNAcentral.